Molecule: ribosomal RNA, 253 nt
Filed under: uncultured bacterium
Lineage: Bacteria
Description: partial 16S ribosomal RNA
Rfam family: Bacterial small subunit ribosomal RNA
Source: RNAcentral
UACGAGGGGGGCAAAUGUUGUUCGGAAUCACUGGGCGUAAAGGGAGCGUAGGCGGGUUUUUAAGUCAGGUGUUUAAUCCCGGGGCCCAACCCCGGACAGGCACUUGAAACUGGGAAUCUUGAAUAGUGGAGAGGUAAGUGGAAUUCCGAGUGUAGAGGUGAAAUUCGUAGAUAUUCGGAAGAACACCAGUGGCGAAGGCGACUUACUGGACACAUAUUGACGCUGAGGUGCGAAAGCGUGGGGAGCAAACAGG